CGAGAACCCUCUCAGCUGCCACCUCUGAGAAUGCCUUCUCACAAUUCUUGACACAACUUUCAAGCAAAACCAAGGACAGGUAUUGAGCCCUAGGGCUCUUCAUCAUUAUCCUCCGCUUUAUGCCACGGAUCAAUUCAACACUGCUAAUUUUUUCGUGAUUGAUCAUGUCACAGAUUUCAAGAUUUAAGGCCCAAUCAGGCUCAUCAAGGGUCUCUGAGGUGGCAUCCUCAACAAGCUUAUCAGCUUGGUUCGGGCCUUGGAAGAGCUCCUUCACCUUAAAGCUCAUUGAGCUCAUGCCAGCACUUACUUUUCUGCCCACCUC
RNAcentral lists this long non-coding RNA (322 nucleotides) under Theobroma cacao (cacao). RNAcentral describes it as "long non-coding RNA (TCAC_LNC003502)". Lineage: Eukaryota; Viridiplantae; Streptophyta; Magnoliopsida; Malvales; Malvaceae. The record is from RNAcentral.